Lutzomyia longipalpis is the source of this 87-nucleotide non-coding RNA. The record is from Rfam. Lineage: Eukaryota; Metazoa; Arthropoda; Insecta; Diptera; Psychodidae.
AUAAAUUUAUAAUGAUGAUUCAUAGUUCAGUUGAUAUUCAAUGAUAACAACACACUUUACGUCUUUCGCUCCUAACUGAAAAUUCCA